GAGGAAGGAGCUUGAGCGCGAGACCACGGAACGGCUAAAGGUCGACAGGGAGUUGGGAAACGCAGAAGGCGCCAUAAAGACUGAGUUGCAAGCCCUCAGAAACGAGCUACCGGAACGGAUCAAGGUUGUUGCAGGAGUUAGCCGAAAGAGUGAAGGGCGACGAAAGCUGUUUCGAUAACAUCAAGCAAGGGCUCGAGCAGGAGUCAGC
This 208-nucleotide ribosomal RNA is filed under the name Karenia brevis. RNAcentral's name for it is "partial Eukaryotic large subunit ribosomal RNA". The record is from RNAcentral. Lineage: Eukaryota; Dinophyceae; Gymnodiniales; Kareniaceae.